Ictidomys tridecemlineatus (thirteen-lined ground squirrel) is the source of this 7760-nucleotide non-coding RNA. The record is from RefSeq and is a predicted model, not a curated record. Lineage: Eukaryota; Metazoa; Chordata; Mammalia; Rodentia; Sciuridae.
CUGCCUCAACUCAGCCAGGGGCCCCACCUGGCGCUGGAUGUGCUAUGUGCUGUCCAUGCUGAACUGCCAAGGCUCUCUUGGGUGUAGUGCACCUAGGCCAACUCCAGGCAGCUGCUGCAGAAUACCCAGGGCCCAACCCAGUGAGGCCAAAUGUGCCCUGCCCCAUACAGCCUCCCUUCCUCCUGGGCAGUUGCCUGCAGCCUUUAGAGCCCCACCCUCACCAGCAAUCAGCAGCUUCCAGCCCCCGCCCACCAUAGGAUGUUGCCAUGGAAUCCUCCAGGGGCCAGCAGGCAGAGCUGCUAGCUGGUGACGUUAGGGAUGGGGCACAGUGCAGCAUCUGCCCAUGCAGUAGGCCAGGCCAGCCUGUCUCAAAUGCCCAAACUCUCCCCUUAGACCCCUGUCAGGGUGCAGUAUGUCCUGGAGGCACGGUUCUCCACUGAGCAGGUCUGUGCCAGGAAUCAGCUGACCUUAGAGCCUGGCCUUGUGGCCCACAGCUUGUGAGGUCCUGACGUGGGACAGGUUCAUGGCAAAUGAAUUUGCCCAGGACCACACAGAGCAGCCCUGUGGUGGCCCCAGUAGGACACUAGUGGGGGCCCUACCCAGCAGGACAGGACAGGGGAAGUACCUCCCCCUGACAGACAGCAGAGGCAUCCUUCCCCUCCCCACUCAGCUGGAAUAGCCCAGGGCUUGGUACUUGGGUCACAGGGCUGGCAAGAGUUGGAGUGAGGACAGAGCCAUGUGGCUGAAGAAUAAGCCACAUGCAGACCCUCCUGGUGGGCAGUGGGCAAUUGCAGCCAAGGGCCCACUCUGGACUGAGUGAGCCAUCUGGCUCCAGGUACUUGCUGAGAUUUUGGCACCUCAAGCUCCAAAAUAGUACCUGGGAAGACUGACAGGGCAGGGAGUUACCCAUCUGCUCCUGCCUGGGCCCAACCAGAGACAUGCAUUCUGGGAGCCCCUGACCAGUAUGCAGUGAGGCCAGGGCUUGGGGCUCCUCCAGGUCCCUGACCUAAGGCCCUGCCAAGCUGCCUGCUGCUUGUGCAGGUGCCCUGGAGAUGGUGCUGGUGAGACCAUCAGGCUUCUUCCUGGACGUGGUUCAGGACCCUGAGACCUGUAUUUUGGGAAUGUUGAAAACCUUGUGCUCAGCAAAGCUCCAAAGCAGAGCAAGAGCAAACCAGUUGGGGCCUUAGCCCUGCUGCACAGCCCCCACCGGGUGCGGCCCCUUUAAGUGCUGCCCCCUUGGCUGCCAUUGGGGGCAGUACUGAGCAGCCAGGCCAGGAUCAGCGCUGCUGCCUGGAAGCUUCUGCCGGUGCCCGGGCGCAGCAGUGCGGGGGGGAUACAGAGGACCCGGCUGGAGCUGGUGCAGCCCACCCAGGAUUCGGGCAACAUCCAGGUAAGAGGCCAGGGUGAACUGCCUAGCAUGCUAUUGUCAAGCAGAAGCUAUCUGAGAGGAUGGGACAUCCCCGCCCCCAAGCAGCACAGGCUAGUUCCUGCGAUGGUUGCUCCAGGACAGGCCAGGGCAGGGCUGGGAGGUAAGGAAGGCUGCUUGGCCAUCCGUGUGGGCUCCAGAAGACCCAGGGUCCUGGAGUUGCCCAACGCCACCCGAUCCCCACAGGGAGGGGGUGUCAGAGUCCAGGUCCUGACAGCCGCAGCUGGCAACGCUGGCUGUCACCUCCCUGGGGCGGAGCCUCACACCCUGUCAUCCAGCCUAGAUUCCAGCCUGGCCUUGAGCUUAGGAUGAAAGAGGGGUCUGACCGGUGUGGGUAUUAGCCUGGGAUGGGGACAUAGACUGGACUUAGUAGCCCUGACCCAAAAGCAGCCCUGUGAGCAGAAAGCUGAUGCCCAGCUGGGACACAGUUGACCCUUCACAGCCUGUCCACCUACAGUCCUGCCAGGUGAGGGCAUGGCUAGCCCCUCAUUAAUUCCCCCAGUUUAUCCUGGGGCAGAUGCCCCCAAGUGGGUGCUGAGUAGGAGGAGGAGGGCUGUCACCUCUUUCUGAGCAUCUCCCCAGCCAGCCUCUGGCCCUGGGGACCUGGAGGCUCUGGUGGCCCAUAUCUGAACCCGAGCCUGGACCCAGCCAAGCCUGCAGCUCAGGGGCUGAAGAACCACAGGUUUCCAUGGAGCCUUCAGGAGUGGAAGGAGGAGGGGGUAGGGCCCUCUCCUGGGAGGCAGUGGGGGAGCUUUCCCCGCCCUCCACCCUGCCUCCCCCCCCACCCCCCGCAGCUGGCAGCCUCCUGGCCGAGUGAGCUAAUUCUCAGCUGAGGAAGAUGGAUGCCAUAAGUACAUGGUUCCAUGGCCUGGGCCUGACUUUGAGGCUGCCAUGAAUACACCAGGCGGUGUCCAUGUGCACUUAUGCAAAGCUGGUGGGGACGAUCUUCAGCCUUCCUUGCCUGCCCCAUCAAGCCUGGUGGAUUUCAGCCACCCCAAGACAGCUGGGGUCAAAGGAGGCCCAGGCAUGCUCUCUGAGGACUUUUUUAUGGCCUGGGCCACUCGGAGUUGAGGACAUUUUUGCUUUGGAUGCUUUGGAUGCAGUCAAGUGUCCCCAGCCCUGUGUACUGACCAGGCUGAGCACACCAGGUACUGUGCUCAGCCUGGUCAGCAGGCUAGUGGGGAUGUCUGAGACUUUCUGUAGGACUGGCUAAGGCUAGGGUCCUGGGACUUGCCCUCUCACUUUUCACAAUUAAAAGGGUCACUCUGCAUUGGGCAUUGUACGGGAAUCUAUACCUGUAAAUCAAUUCCAGUAAAGCUAAAAUGAGCCCCAUCAUUCCAGCUGUGGACACCAGAGGGCAGUAGUCCUAGGACCAUUUCCCCACUUUCCUCUCCUACCCACCUGCCUGCUCUGCCAAGAAAGGGGGUUCUGUCUAUCCAAACCUGCCCAGGGGUCACUAGCAAGGAGAGGAAUUCUGCCUAGGGACAAGAAGGCAUGGACCACUGCAGGCUAAGCCCUUCAGGCUGACCUGGCCCACCCCCAUCUGCAGGAAUCUCUAAGGUCAGCAUGGGUACCUCUAAGGCCGGCAUGGAGCAAGCGCCUGCGGCCUUGGCAAAGGCCUGCAGCCAGGGUUGCUUCACUCCCUGCGCCCCAGGGCAAAAGCCCCAAAAGGCCGCGUGAGCUGGAGCCGCCAGCCUGGGGACGUCUUUUAAGAUGACCCGCACGGACCCACCGGACCUGCUGGUGUCUACCGUGUACCAGGACAUCAAGGUGGCGGCCCCGGGGCCAGCGUCCAGGCGCCAGCCAUGUGAGCAAUCCGUGGCCCGGCCUGGUGCGCCCGCGCCUUUCAACAAGCGCCACUGCCGCAGCUUCGAUUUCCUGGAGGCACUGGACGGGCCGGCCAUGGAGGCCCACUCAGAGCCUCCACUCCCGGAGCCCGCUGCUCCGCGCGCGCGGCCCCGAGAAGGCGAACCUCGGCGUCGCGCCCGCUCCAAGAGCGCGCCCCGCGCGCCCCCGGGCCUGGCACCGGCGCCCACCUCGCCGCCGGUGCUGCAGCGCCGAGGCCGGGAGACUCAGCGUGCGAUGCGGGUAGAGGGGUCGCCUCGCCGGGAGCCUGCGUACCCCGCGCUGCGCGCUCUCGCCAACGAACUGCACCCUAUUAAGCUGCAGCCACAACGGAGCGGCCCUGGCCGCAUCACGCCCCUGUGUGCCGCCCCUGGCCGCUGUGCGCCACCAGAGCCCCCCACGGGGCCCGCCCCCCAUGUCCGAUGCCGACUGGACAUCAAGCCAGAUGACGCUGUGCUGCAGCACGCCGCCCGGGGUUCGCGGCCCUGUGGGCCCGUAGACAACACGUCCUGGGCCCGUGCAGCCCCGCAGUUCCAUGGCCUUACGGUGCCUGGUCCCCGCCACGUGGCGCUCUCGCGUACCCCCACCCCCAGUGACUUGUACUGUGCGGACCCCCGGGCGCUGUACUGCGACGGGCCCCUGCCUGGGCCUCGGGACUACUCUGAGCGCCGCAGUCAGCCCUUCAGCACACCUCCAGGCCCUACACAAUUCUUCUACACCGAGGAGCCUGAGGGCUAUGCAGGAGGAUUUCCCGCCAGCCCUGGUCCUCCCUUUGAUGGCUACUGCCCUAGGCCCUACCCAUCCGAAGAGACCCGGGGUCCCAGUCCGAGGCGUGGGGGCGGCUACUAUGGAGGGGAAGUGCGCACUUUCCCGAUCCAGGAACCACCCUCCCGCUCCUACUACGGGGAGGUCCCCAGGGCCUAUGGACUGCCCUUUGUUCCCCGCUACGUUCCUGAAGAUCCUCGGGCCCACACCUUUUAUACAGAGGACUUUGGGAGGUACCGCGAGCGUGACGCCCUAGCUCGGACUUACCCGCACUCACGCAACAGCUCAGCCUGGGCCGACUGGGGACCCCGGCCUUACCGCACCUUGCAGGUAGUGCCUCCCUCGGUCCCCGGCCCGCUGUUGGCCUCGUGGCAUGGUGGCACCGGCACCAGCCCGCCCCGGCUGGCCACAGACAGCCGCCACUACUCACGCUCAUGGGACAACAUCCUGGCGCCAGGGCCCCGCCGGGAGGACCCCCUAGGCCGGGGCCGCAGCUAUGAGAACCUGCUAGGGCGGGAGGUGCGGGAGCCGCGGGGCGCAUCCCCCGAGGGCCGGCGCGCGCCAGUAAUAGUGAACUUGUCCACCUCACCCAGACGCUAUGCGGCGCUCUCUCUGUCUGAGACCUCGCUGUCCGAAAAGGGCCGUGCCGGGGAAGGCCUGAGCCGUAACUGGUAUGUCACUCCAGAGAUUACCAUCACCGACAACGACCUGCGCGCCGCCGAACGCCCGACUGUCAGGAGCUGGGAACUGCCGGGAGGCCGGCCGCGUCUGCCCGCGUCGGCGGCUCCCAUGGGCCCCACCUCUGGCCGCCAGCGCAGCCUAGAGCAACUAGACGAGCUCAUUACCGAUCUGGUCAUCGACUCCAGACCACCGGCCGGCCAAGCCCCAGAGCCGGCGGCAGAGGGGCUGGGCCGCCAGCUGCGCCGCAGCGCGCUGGACUCACGGCCCGCGGGCCCUGGAGCCCCGGCGCUGGCGCCUCCGCGUUCGCCCCCUGCCUCUGCUGGCAGCGUCGAGGAGCCUGCAGGCCCGGGCGAGGCAGCCAACGGGUCUCCAGAACCCAGUGCGGACGAGGACGAUCUGAUGACCUGCUCCAAUGCGCGCUGCCGGCGCACGGAAACCAUGUUCAACGCCUGCCUCUACUUCAAGUCCUGCCACAGCUGCUACACUUACUACUGUUCACGCCUGUGCCGCCGCGAGGACUGGGACGCACACAAGGCGCGCUGCGUAUACGGCCGCGUGGGCAGCGUGUGCCGCCACGUGCUUCAGUUCUGCCGUGACAGCGGCCCCGUGCAUCGCGCUUUCUCGCGCAUCGCUCGUGUCGGCUUCCUGUCCCGCGGCCGCGGCGUGCUCUUCCUGGGCUUCCCAAGUCCUGGCUCGGCCGACAACUUCCUGCGCUUCGGUCUCGAAGGGCUGCUGUUGUCGCCCACUUACCUGUCCCUGCGCGAGCUGGCUACACACGCAGCGCCCCUGGGCAGCUAUGCGCGAGAGCUGGCGGCCGCAGGGCGGCUCUAUGAGCCGGCCGAGUGCUUCCUACUCAGUGUGUCGGUGGCGGUAGGUCCGGGCACCGCGCCCUCUGGGGCGCCCGCUCGGCCGGCGCCCGCGCCUCGCAGCACUGGGCCCACUGUGCGCAAGUUCGCCAAGGUGGCACUGGCUGCAGGCAGUCCGGCGCGGCCGCCCCCCGUGCGGGGCCGUGAGCCUGACAUGGAAACAUUGAUUUUGACCCCGCCACCAGGCACGGCGGGCCUGGACCAAGAGGGCGAGGCGGGCCGGCGGGCUAGAGAGGUGGCCUUCAUCCACAUCCAAAGGGAGCUGCGGCUGCGAGGUGUAUUCCUGCGCCACGAGUUCCCGCGCGUUUAUGAGCAGCUCUGUGAGUUCGUGGAGGCCAACCGACGCUUCACGCCCACCACCAUCUACCCCACAGACCGGCGCACCGGCCGCCCCUUCAUGUGCAUGAUCAUGGCUGCUUCUGAGCCACGCGCGCUGGACUGGGUGGCCAGCGCCAAUCUGCUGGACGAUAUCAUGUGAGGCUUGAGGACACCAGACUCAGGCCCUGAUCAGAAUCCUUGCCUAGCCCACUCAGGCCCCGCCCGGUCCACUCAGGGCCGCCCCCGAGCCCCGCCCAACUCACUGAAUCCAUCCAGGCCCAGACCAGCCCCUCAUGCUGCUUCUCUUGAGCCCUGCCCGGACAAAUUUCCCAGCUCCCCCCAUUUUCCCACACCCCACUGUGCUCUCCCAACUCUUUCCUCCCCACAACAACUCACCGGGCUGCCCAGUUCCCAUCUUCCAGAGUCAGCCCUCCUGGCCCACAGAGACCGGUCCUCGCCCUAGGUGCUCCCCGCUGGGAGGUGGGGUGGGCCAGAGGACCUCCAGGCUCUGCCUUUUUGCUGAGGGUCACUACUGCACAGACCCUGCAAAUGGAUCCAUAUCUGCUCUGGGGCUCUGAUGAAGCCUCUGCUCUCCCUCCCUGCUCGUCCAGGAGCCUGUGUUGACCAAAGUCUAGUAUAGACACUUUAAGCUCACCUCCUGUCUCUGGGGUGUGAUCCCCUCAGAGACCUUUCUUCCUGGAGAACACCCUGAUUAGCUUUCGUGCAUUCAUGCCCCAAGUGAGAAAGCUAUGUGUGAGUGCCGAGCCGGACUCUGAAGUGUUGCUCAUCCUGCAGCCUCUCACCUCUGACCACCUUGGUCUAAGUCUUGCAGGAGAGGUUGGAUACUCAGAGGUCUUCAAGCCAAGGGCAAGCCCACCAGCCAGAGGGGAUUUGGGGCAGGAAAAGCAGAGCAUCUGGGUGUGGGCACAUGCCAGGCAAGGGUCUGGGGUCUGCCCAUACCCAACAAGAUGGCCCUAGACAGGUGCCAGAGCAGAACCUGGUGGUGGGCAUGCAAAGGCAGGCCCUAAUUUGGCAGGAGAUCAGAAGCAUGUACAUAGGAUGGGCCAGCUGGGAGGACAGCACAGAGGCCUUCCAGGAAGCUACAUCUACCUGCUGCCAAAGGAAGGACCUGGAAGGUUCAGGGGGAUCCUCAGCUAGUUGCUGGGUAGAGAAAGAGGAGUGAGUUAGCAGCCAAUGGAGUUUCAACUGAAGAGCUAUGUGACAAGCCCGAGGUCAGGUCCCUCCACUGCACGAUUGCACACAGGUCCCAGUGCUUUCACUCUGCUACUCACGAGCUUGGUAUGCCUUGGGGAGCGCAUACCCAGACGGCCCUACGCUGUGCCCUCUCCCCACCACUCUUCCCUUGGGCAUCCUGCUCCGCACCGGGGCUCCAAAGAGGACUGAGAAAGGAGAUAAGCCAGGCGCUGUGCAAGGGUCCUCGUGGAUCCUCUAAUCCCUUCGGAGCCAGAGGAGGGGGCAUUAAGCGCGAUAAAUUGUGAGCCCUGCCUCCGCGCCCUGCUCUCACCCCUGACGGUGUCUCCACCCCGACACUCCUGAGCCCCCGCCCGGGCCUGCGAUUUGCACCGGCCCGGUGCCCCGCUUGCUGCAAUCGCUGCUGCGCCCCGCCACGGGACCUCCGCAUAGGGCCCCGCGCCUGAGGGCCCACAGGAACGCCCCUGGACGGGAAUCGUUUCUAGAGGGCGAGCGCUUUCAAACCAAUCCACUUUCCCUUUAAAUGCGGCAGCGUGGGCACAAGGCUGCAAGGAACUGCACCGCGAUUGGUCAGUCCGUGCCCCAGGUCCGGGGCACGACUGGCUGAGGCUCCGGGCCUCAGGCAGCAUCUACCCACGGGAUUGGCC